This is an RNA transcript of Musa acuminata AAA Group (dessert banana), 2307 nucleotides long. RefSeq lists it as uncharacterized. The record is from RefSeq and is a predicted model, not a curated record. The transcript has 6 exons. Lineage: Eukaryota; Viridiplantae; Streptophyta; Magnoliopsida; Zingiberales; Musaceae.
AGCCAUAGAACAACGCAAAGUGGUCGUGGUGAGUGGUAGUGUUGUCUGCAGUGAGAGAGAGAGAGACAGAGAGAGAGAGAGGGGGGGGAGGGUCGAAUGGAAGGAGAAAAGAAGCCAUCGUCAUCUUCGAUUGCCGAUGAACUGUUAGACAUCAGGAAGAGUGCGGGGACGCCCGCCGAUUCCUCCUUUUCCUCUUCUUCUUCUUCCGCCUUGUCGCCCGGCUACUUCAGCAGUGUCUUCCCCACUGGUUCCACGGAGAUGUCUAAGGAUUCAGCAGAGAGUGACUUGUUCUGGACCUCCAGCGAGCGAAGGACAGAUGAUCUGAUCGGGAACGCUCAGGCCGCUGCAGCAGAUGGGAAAUCUCAGGGAAGUCCCAGCAGAAGGCAAACUACGUGGAGCAAGGAUGGUAAACUAGUCGAUCCCAAUCAAUCAGAAGAAUCGACCUACUUGUGCUCAUCUGUGCACUAUGGUGGUCGAGAUUUCUAUGUCAGCUCUCCUUCCAACCAAGUCUCUGGAGCUCCAAAAAGUGAUAAAAAAGCUGAUGAAGGGGAUGAUUCAGGUGACGCUAACAUUGCAAACAGAGGUGAAUGGUGGCAAGAGUCAAUAGGAUUGCAAAUUUCUGGAUGAAGCUUCAGCAGAUGACUGGCGCUAAGAAUGUUUAGGUUGCUGCUGCUUUUCAGUUAAGAAAGUAACCUUUGAAGAUUCAACAUACUUUGGAGUAUGUCGCCUUCUGUUUGACCCCUCCCAAAUCGUGUUUUACUGUGCAGUAUUUUAAAAACCAUUUGGUGCGAUGGAAUGUUCCUUCAUGUCUAUUUUUUUAUGACCAUAUUUCACAAGGUCAAUUCAGUUCCUAAAUUUGCUCAAACAAUCUUUUGUUUGGCCUCUCUAACCAUAAUAGCUAGUGAGCUGCUUGCAUAUACAAGCUUAACCCACCAGAGCAUGACUUGUAUCUUUCGUGAGCUCCUCAAAUUGCAAAUUGAUAGAUCUUUAUUCGAAUACUCUUCUUCUCUCAACUGACCCCUUUUAGAGUGGUAGGUUCUCUGACUGAUAUGGCAUAAUUGCUUAAACAUCUACCUUUGGUUUUAUUAGAACAAUGAUAGAUAGAUUAUCUGAAUGUGCUUGAUUUAAGUGAAUAGUCAUAUAUGGUGCUCAGUCAUGGGAGAAGAUUCAUGUAGUCGCCCCUCAACUGUGAGGGUCGUUGUUGUUGAAUUUGAAAGGUUGGUUUGUCAUGCAUCCAAUUGCGACUCUUUCAUCCAUGAUCUUUCCUUAUUAAACUGACCAAUCUCGCCUACUUAUCUGCAUCGACCCUAACAGUGUUUUGAAAUGCUAUAUUGCAAUCGUCAACAUUGCUUUGCACCACUCUGCUUGACCCAAAUGGCCUGCUUUGCGCCACUCGCUCUGUGCACUUUUCACUCACUUCUCUUACACUUGACACUUGGGUGAUGAGUUGAAGUUGACCUGGAUCUUUUUUCCAGGUCUGCGUAUUUUGUAUAUUUUGCAGAGCAGGCAGGACUUGUCUUUUUUUUUUUUCAGCUGGCUCGAGCUCGGUAACCUAUAGCUCUUGAUAGAGAAGCUCGUUUUGUCAUAGAUUAUUUCCAGCUUCCUCUUCUCAUUACAUAAAACUCGGAAUUUUUUUUAUCUUCAGUGUGUGUAUUAGUUUUGGAUGGAGUGGAGAGGAGAAAUAGCAAAGCUCUGUUGGCCCAUAAGCUUCGGUCUAAUUUGGAGCACUAAAAUUUACAUGUGGAGCACCAGCAUUUUGCAUUUUUUUUUUGUCCAUAGCAUUGACCAUAGUUCGACUAAAAUUAAUAAUGAGAGGGUUAUUAGUGUCUUUUAGCCCAAUGUUAAUGAUUUCUUAUUCUUUUAUCUUCCAUAGCAUUGACCAUAGUUUGACUAAAAUUAGUAAUGAGAAGGUUAUUAUUGUCUUUUAGCUCAAUGUUAAUAAUUUCUUCUUUUUUUUAAAUCUCAGAUGUUAUUAUUGAAGUGAUGAACAGGGGAGGCAACAUGAGAUUAGAAGUUGGUGUUUAGAGAGCUACUGCUGUCUCGGUGUGCUAGCUACUUACAGGAGUCAGCAUAACCACCAUAUGAAGUCUCACUUCCCAGUUCUUUCUCGGGGUCUUCGAUUCGCACGUAGUAAGAUACUACUGUCUAUGUACGAAGUAAUUGUCUUUGUACGUAAUUUCAGGUUUGGGCAGCAGAGAAGCUGUUUCGAGUCGUCGCCUCCAGCUUUUACCGCAGUGUGGAUGUCAGGUUGCUCACAAAUGUAUAUUUUAAUGCACAUAAUAAGCUUUUAUUAGUGGUUUGUUUGGA